AUUGAACGCUGGCGGCAUGCUUUACACAUGCAAGUCGGACGGCAGCGGGGUAGUGCUUGCACUACUGCCGGCGAGUGGCGAACGGGUGAGUAACAUAUCGGAACGUACCGAGCAGUGGGGGAUAACUAAUCGAAAGAUUAGCUAAUACCGCAUAUAUUCUGAGGAAGAAAGCAGGGGACCUUUGGGCCUUGCGCUGUUUGAGCGGCCGAUAUCUGAUUAGCUGGUUGGUGGGGUAAAGGCCUACCAAGGCGACGAUCAGUAGCGGGUCUGAGAGGAUGAUCCGCCACACUGGGACUGAGACACGGCCCAGACUCCUACGGGAGGCAGCAGUGGGGAAUUUUGGACAAUGGGGGCAACCCUGAUCCAGCCAUGCCGCGUGUCUGAAGAAGGCCUUCGGGUUGUAAAGGACUUUUGUCCGGGAAGAAAAGCGCGAUGUUAAUACCAUUGCGUGCUGACGGUACCUAAAGAAUAAGCACCGGCUAACUAC
Molecule: ribosomal RNA, 487 nt
Filed under: Neisseria sp. oral taxon 009
Lineage: Bacteria; Pseudomonadati; Pseudomonadota; Betaproteobacteria; Neisseriales; Neisseriaceae
Description: bacterial SSU rRNA
Rfam family: Bacterial small subunit ribosomal RNA
Source: RNAcentral